GACGAACGCUGGCGGCGUGCCUAAUACAUGCAAGUUGAGCGCUGAAGGUUGGUACUUGUACCAACUGGAUGAGCAGCGAACGGGUGAGUAACGCGUGGGGAAUCUGCCUUUGAGCGGGGGACAACAUUUGGAAACGAAUGCUAAUACCGCAUAAAAACUUUAAACACAAGUUUUAAGUUUGAAAGAUGCAAUUGCAUCACUCAAAGAUGAUCCCGCGUUGUAUUAGCUAGUUGGUGAGGUAAAGGCUCACCAAGGCGAUGAUACAUAGCCGACCUGAGAGGGUGAUCGGCCACAUUGGGACUGAGACACGGCCCAAACUCCUACGGGAGGCAGCAGUAGGGAAUCUUCGGCAAUGGAUGAAAGUCUGACCGAGCAACGCCGCGUGAGGGAAGAAGGUUUUCGGAUCGUAAAACUCUGUUGGUAGAGAAGAACGUUGGUGAGAGUGGAAAGCUCAUCAAGUGACGGUAACUACCCAGAAAGGGACGGCUAACUACGUG
RNAcentral lists this ribosomal RNA (497 nucleotides) under uncultured bacterium. RNAcentral describes it as "partial 16S ribosomal RNA". It matches the Rfam family "Bacterial small subunit ribosomal RNA", at positions 28 to 507 of the family's 1533-position model. The record is from RNAcentral.